This 137-nucleotide small nuclear RNA is filed under the name Rattus norvegicus (Norway rat). Its description in RNAcentral is "7SK RNA". It matches the Rfam family "7SK RNA", at positions 191 to 331 of the family's 331-position model. Rfam says of the family: 7SK was discovered as an abundant small nuclear RNA in the mid-70s but a possible function has only recently been suggested. Two independent studies have found that 7SK RNA binds the CDK9/cyclin T complex (known as elongation factor P-TEFb). The record is from Rfam by way of RNAcentral. Lineage: Eukaryota; Metazoa; Chordata; Mammalia; Rodentia; Muridae.
UAUACAAGCAGCUACUCUCUCCCUCUGGAAAGUCCAGUCAAGAUUUCAGGGCCAUUGCAGGAGAGUGUAGGGCAGUCAGGCGUCUAGAACUGUAGGUCCAUCCAAAGGAGGUGCUUCAUGGUGGUCAGCCCUUGUUU